CUGCCGACUGGACUGACUUCAGCCCUGCGUCCACACUCAGCCUCCACGUUUGUGAACGACUGACACGGACAGACAUGCAGAGGACCCUCAGGGCAGAACUUCUGUAUCUAACUGCUGACAGCAUACAGAGAACUGAAGAUCAGAAAGUUUUUGGGUCUUGCAACUGCUGAUGGGUGGCCCUGCACCUACUGUGGCAGCCACGCAGGCUGAGACUUCAAAUGCGGCAAACGUGGAUGUGAGAGUUGGAUCAUAAAGAAACCUGAGCACUGAAGAAUUGAUGCUUUCAAAUUGUGGUGCUGGAGAAGACUCUUGAGAGUCCCUUAGACAGCCAGGAGAUCAAACCAGUCAAUCCUAAAGGAAAUCAACACUGAAUAUUCAUUGGAAGGACUGAUGCUGAAGUUCCAAUACUUUCUGUACCUGAUGCAAAGAGCUGACUCAUUGGAAAAGACCCUGAUGCUUGGAAAGACUGAGGGCAGGAGGAGGAAGAGGCAAGAGAGGAUGAGACGGUUGGAUGGCAACACUGACUUAAUGGACAUGAGUUUGAGCAAACUCCAGAAGACAGUGAAGGACACGGGAGCCCGGCAUGCUGCAGUUCAUGGGGUCGCAAGGAGUCAGACAUGACUUAGCAAUCAAAUUAUGUUUUACCAAACAUUAAUAUUCAAUUAAUAGGUAUUCCUUGAAAUUCAUCACCAAAAUGUUGCUAGCAGUAAUUUUUCUAAAAUUUA
Dama dama (fallow deer) is the source of this 725-nucleotide long non-coding RNA. RefSeq lists it as uncharacterized. The record is from RefSeq and is a predicted model, not a curated record. The transcript is spliced from 3 exons. Lineage: Eukaryota; Metazoa; Chordata; Mammalia; Artiodactyla; Cervidae.